CCUACGGGAGGCAGCAGUGAGGAAUAUUGGACAAUGGGCGCAAGCCUGAUCCAGCCAUGCCGCGUGCAGGAAGACGCAUCUAUGGUGUGUAAACUGCUUUUGUACGGGAAGAAACACUCCCUCGUGAGGGAGCUUGACGGUACCGUAAGAAUAAGGAUCGGCUAACUCCGUGCCAGCAGCCGCGGUAAUACGGAGGAUCCAAGCGUUAUCCGGAAUCAUUGGGUUUAAAGGGUCCGUAGGCGGUUUAAUAAGUCAGUGGUGAAAGCCCAUCGCUCAACGAUGGAACGGCCAUUGAUACUGUUAGACUUGAAUUACUAGGAAGUAACUAGAAUAUGUAGUGUAGCGGUGAAAUGCUUAGAUAUUACAUGGAAUACCAAUUGCGAAGGCAGGUUACUACUAGUGGAUUGACGCUGAUGGACGAAAGCGUGGGGAGCGAACAGGAUUAGAUACCCUGGUAGUCCACGCCGUAAACGAUGGAUACUAGCUGUUGGGCGCAAGUUCAGUGGCUAAGCGAAAGUGAUAAGUAUCCCACCUGGGGAGUACGUUCGCAAGAAUGAAACUCAAAGGAAUUGACGGNNGAGAGNGCGAGACGACGACGAGGGAGGAGG
Molecule: ribosomal RNA, 608 nt
Filed under: uncultured bacterium
Lineage: Bacteria
Description: bacterial SSU rRNA
Rfam family: Bacterial small subunit ribosomal RNA
Source: RNAcentral